This 433-nucleotide ribosomal RNA is filed under the name uncultured bacterium. RNAcentral describes it as "partial 16S ribosomal RNA". It matches the Rfam family "Bacterial small subunit ribosomal RNA", at positions 29 to 507 of the family's 1533-position model. The record is from RNAcentral.
AACGAACGCUGGCGGCAUGCCUAACACAUGCCAGUCGAACGAGACCUUCGGGUCUAUUGGCGCACGGGUGCGUAACGCGUGGGAACCUGCCCUUAGGUUCGGAAUAACUCCCCGAAAGGGGUGCUAAUACCGGAUAAUGUCUUCGGACCAAAGAUUUAUCGCCUUUGGAUGGGCCCGCGUUGGAUUAGCUAGUUGGUAGGGUAAAAGCCUACCAAGGCGACGAUCCAUAGCUGGUCUGAGAGGAUGAUCAGCCACACUGGGACUGAGACACGGCCCAGACUCCUACGGGAGGCAGCAGUGGGGAAUAUUGGACAAUGGGCGAAAGCCUGAUCAAGCAAUGCCGCGUGAGUGAUGAAGGCCUUAGGGUUGUAAAGCUCUUUUACCCGGGAUGAUAAUGACAGUACCGGGAGAAUAAGCACCGGCUAACUCCGUG